This is a non-coding RNA of Cucurbita pepo subsp. pepo (vegetable marrow), 1495 nucleotides long. NCBI's taxonomy places the organism in Eukaryota, Viridiplantae, Streptophyta, Magnoliopsida, Cucurbitales, Cucurbitaceae. The record is from RefSeq and is a predicted model, not a curated record.
UUGAGUUUUCGACUCCUUUUCUAUAUACCAUCCAUUCAAUUUUCACACGCAUCCAAACCUUUUUCUUUGGAUUUUGAGAUCUUCGUUCUUGAAUCUCUCAUUCAUUUCGGUGAAGAUUUAAGCAGCGAUUUUGAUUCCAAUUGAUCAAUGGCUCUUCUCGGCUUCGCAGUUACCAACGAGGUUAGGGAUAAAAGUUUGAGUGAUUCGCUGCAAACAAUGUUAGAAGGAUAUGACGAGAACUCGAAUGUGGGGAAGCUAUCAUAUUUGGGAUCCUUUAUGGAGGUUGAUUUGCAGCUGCUUCUAUAUCCUCUUGGUUCCAAUGUUGUUCGUACGGCAUGUUGCUCUGUAGGGAUUGUCUUACCUGUGAAUUCCCCUUCAAGGCAAUCGAGAAGAAAGAUCAAAAUAAGCAAUAGAAGUGGCUUUUGUAUUGGGCAGGUUGGGAAAAAAAAUCUUUUCAGUUCUUUAGCUUUCUUGAUUUUUAAUUUCAAACUAUGGAUUAUCUUGUAUAUUGUGUGUCAUGGAGAAAUAUGCAAGCUCUUGGAGGUUUUGCAGGGUUGGCCUAGUUUUCUUUGGGGCAUGGGAAGAUGUAAAGGAACGUACAAUUUUGUUUCCAGUGUACUAUCAUCUGGAGUUGCGUUUCUUGUUUGUCCAGCUCCCAGCAACUGAUGUAAGUACGGGUGCAUUUUCUCCCAGCAACUGAUUUAAGUACGGAUUUCUCCAGCAACUGAUGGACAUCAAUAUAGAGCCAGAAAGGAGAUAAACUGAAAGGAAGAAACGCCUAUUCUCCUUCAGAGAUCUCCUGCCAUUUUUUUUCAGCAAAGAACCAAAAUAGACCUUGAACAACACUUAGCGACACUUCAGAGAUCUCCUACAUUUAAACCAAAUGUGUUCUGAACUAUAGUCUUCCAUAUCUAUUUGUUGCUUUUCGACACUUAUCGUUGCUCAUUUUCAGGGUGCAAAGAAAUUAUACACGUACCAGCUGCGUCCUCUCUUCCUUAGGCAUACGAUCUUGGGGGCGGUUUCAGAUGAAGUGGUGAAAACCAUUGCUGCACGUCAACCAGAGAUUCAGUAAUUUAGAACCAUGUUUAUGAGACUAAUGAGAUCAGGUGAAAACGUAGCAAUAUCCUGCUUAUUGGUUAAUUUGUAAUUCCAUUUCUUUCAACUCUUUAUCUUAUCUCAACCUCUGGAUCAGUCGAAGGGCUUGGGUUUGCAAGACCAUAUCAGGCUGGAAAGUGCCAACAAAUCGAGGAUCAAGUAAGACUAAAAGCUUGGAUGCAGAGUCAGAUAUUGAUGAUCGACUUAUUGCCAACAGUUUCCAUUCGCUGGUGUAGUUGCAACAAUAUCAACCCCCGGUUUCCUGGAAGUUCAUAUAGGUAGCUGCUUGUAAAAAUGAGUUUGCCUCUUAAGAUAGUGUCGAUCAACAGUCUUAGUCUUCCUUUUUCCAAUACCUUUCACACAAAACUGAACUUAUGGAAAUAUUAGAAUUUUUUUCACA